UGAAAAUGAUCAGCAGCAUCCAAAAAACAAAAAGCCAUUUCACAGAUACUCUCUCACUUUUACAGAGAAACACGAAUUCCUGCUCGAAUUCCUGAAGCUGUCAAACAAGAACAGCCACCUGCAUUCCUGAUCGAAUUACCUUAGGAUGCUCUUAAAUGCAAGAUAUGGAAAAACGCAAUUAAGGAGAUGCGACCGACACCUGAAACUGACGCUGUCAGAUCAAGAAAACACCAUGAGUUUCGUGUCCAAGUAUUCCUGUGAGGCUCUACGGACAUAUACUCCCACUGGCUGGCUGGCUUAGAACAUGCUGUUAAAGCUUCCUCCCACUUUCAUGCAGCAUCCGUAAAGAGACGGUGAUGAUUUAUUCUCCUGAGCUCCCCGUUCUCUGUUACUGCCGCCAGUUCUGCUACAGGCUUUUGGUUUCAAAUCCGAGAGCGAUGAUGACUAUCUUGAAUUCCUUCCUGAUGAUGUGUGUCCCAUCGUAAAUGGAAGAUAGGAGCCAUAAUUAGCCUGCAUGUUGUUUACUCGAAUCGCAUCAAGUCGUGCAUCUACGCAAUAUCUUGAAGUGUAAAAGCUUUAAAUUAAUGGAGGAGACACAUGAAACUCUACUUCCUACUACAAAGAACAUGCAGAUUAAUGGUGUAAUUGAGAUGAAAACCUGAAGAACUGUGUGGUGUUCUUAGGCAUAUGUCUCUUCCCAGAUGUGGAGUUAACACUGACAAUGGUGGCCUCACCCCAUCACACGAGGAAGGUAAAG
RNAcentral lists this long non-coding RNA (757 nucleotides) under Musa acuminata (dwarf banana). Its description in RNAcentral is "long non-coding RNA (MACU_LNC003047)". Lineage: Eukaryota; Viridiplantae; Streptophyta; Magnoliopsida; Zingiberales; Musaceae. The record is from RNAcentral.